This 497-nucleotide ribosomal RNA is filed under the name Stefaniola sp. 2 JOS-2019. RNAcentral's name for it is "partial large subunit ribosomal RNA". The record is from RNAcentral. Lineage: Eukaryota; Metazoa; Arthropoda; Insecta; Diptera; Cecidomyiidae.
AAUUAAAUUGAAAGGCUGCAGUAUUUUGUCUGUGCGAWGGUAUCAUAAUNAUUAGAUUUAUAAUUUGAAUUCUWUAAUGAAUGGUUUUAUGAAAUAAAUACUUUUUUAAUUUAANUAAAUGAAUUUUUUUUUUUAGUUAAANAACUAAAAUUAAUUUAAGGGACNAGAAAACCCUAUUUAAUUUUAUAUUAAAAUAUAUUUAUAUUAAUUYAUAAAUUAAUUAUAAAUAUAAUAUAUAUUUUGUUGGGGCGAUAAUUAAAUUUAAUAAACUUUAAUUAAAUUUUCMUUUAUUUUUGUAUUUUUGANCUUUUUAUWUUGAUUAAAAAAAAAAAUUACCUUAGGGAUAACAGCAUAAUUUUACUAAAAAGUUCUUAUUUUUGGUAAUGUUUAUGACCUCSAUGUUGAAUUAAAUAACAUUAUUAUAUGAAGAUAUAUAAUAAAUAAGUCUGUUCGACUUUUAAUUAUUUCCAUGAUUUGAGUUCAAMCCGGUGUGAGCC